CGCCAAGAUGACCGUAAAUCACAAUCGAGAUGACCGUAACAGAAUCAGCGAUUCAUAACAAGGCUGACCGUAACUGCUUUUAAGAUGACCGUAAUUUGUAAAUGAUGACCGUAACUUUUAAAGGAUGACCCUCAAUUCUAAGAAAUAUCCGUAAUUAUAUAACUAUCUUUUUGUAUCAAAUGAUUGCCAAAAGACAUGCAAAUGAACAGGAAGGGAAAACAUGCCACAAAAGCGCGAUAAAAUGACACCUUACAAGCAUAAUAAAAAAAAUGGGGUGCACAGCCUUCAACUGCUCGACAAAAGAUUUUUGUUUGUUUCUGGGAUUCCUUUUAAUGACAUAUAAUAAAUACACAUUUUUAAAAAUGCCAAAAAAUUGCAUGUACACCCAUUGAUAUUAUAUCGUCUUUCAUUUUGUCGUGCAAAUAAAAUAACAGAAAUAUUUUGAAAAUA
RNAcentral lists this long non-coding RNA (450 nucleotides) under Mytilus galloprovincialis (Mediterranean mussel). The record is from RNAcentral. Lineage: Eukaryota; Metazoa; Mollusca; Bivalvia; Mytilida; Mytilidae.